CGCUGGCGGCGUGCUUAACACAUGCAAGUCGAACGAUGAAGCCCAGCUUGCUGGGUGGAUUAGUGGCGAACGGGUGAGUAACACGUGAGUAACCUGCCCUUAACUCUGGGAUAAGCCUGGGAAACUGGGUCUAAUACCGGAUAGGAGCGUCCACCGCAUGGUGGGUGUUGGAAAGAUUUAUCGGUUUUGGAUGGACUCGCGGCCUAUCAGCUUGUUGGUGAGGUAAUGGCUCACCAAGGCGACGACGGGUAGCCGGCCUGAGAUGGUGACCGGCCACACUGGGACUGAGACACGGCCCAGACUCCUACGGGAGGCAGCAGUGGGGAAUAUUGCACAAUGGGCGCAAGCCUGAUGCAGCGACGCCGCGUGAGGGAUGACGGCCUUCGGGUUGUAAACCUCUUUCAGUAGGGAAGAAGCGAAAGUGACGGUACCUGCAGAAGAAGCACCGGCUAACUACGUG
RNAcentral lists this ribosomal RNA (460 nucleotides) under uncultured bacterium. Its description in RNAcentral is "partial 16S ribosomal RNA". It matches the Rfam family "Bacterial small subunit ribosomal RNA", at positions 34 to 507 of the family's 1533-position model. The record is from RNAcentral.